ACACCGGCAGCUCAAGUGGUAGCCGCUUUUAUUGGGCCUAAAGCGUCCGUAGCCGGUCUGAUAAGUCUCUGGUGAAAUCCCACAGCUUAACUGUGGGAAUUGCUGGAGAUACUAUCAUGACUCGAGGUCGGGAGAGGCUGGAGGUACUCCCAGGGUAGGGGUGAAAUCCUGUAAUCCUGGGAGGACCACCUGUGGCGAAGGCGUCCAGCUGGAACGAACCUGACGGUGAGGGACGAAAGCCAGGGGCGCGAACCGGAUUAGAUACCCGGGUAGUCCUGGCCGUAAACGAUGUGGACUUGGUGUUGGGAUGGCUUCGAGCUGCCCCAGUGCCGAAGGGAAGCUGUUAAGUCCACCGCCUGGGAAGUACGGUCGCAAGACUGAAACUCAAAUGAAUUGACGGGG
Molecule: ribosomal RNA, 402 nt
Filed under: uncultured bacterium
Lineage: Bacteria
Description: partial 16S ribosomal RNA
Rfam family: Archaeal small subunit ribosomal RNA
Source: RNAcentral